Baffinella frigidus is the source of this 73-nucleotide non-coding RNA. The record is from the annotation of a GenBank genome assembly. NCBI's taxonomy places the organism in Eukaryota, Cryptophyceae, Cryptomonadales, Baffinellaceae.
GCUCUUGUGGUCGAGUUGGUACAUCGCUGCUCCUGGAUGCGGGAGGUACCUGGUUCGAACCUCGGCGGGUGCA